UCAGCUAUGACCGCCACGACACCUGCUCGCCCCAACAUACCCGGUGUCAGGCUGGACAUGUCUGUAUGUGAAGGUGAUAGCUCUACCUCCAAGAGAACUCGUUGCGGGGAUACACCUGAUCCCCUGCGCAAGCGCCACUGCUCUGAAGGGGAAUCUCCCGCGGAUAUCAACAUGUCGAUUGUUCGUUUUGCCCAGUUCACCUUGCGAGCAAUCAGUGAACUAUUCAUCAAUCUGCCCAAUGAUGGUAGUACUACAGUUUUCAGUGAGCGGCGGGAAGAGCUACCUGGCCGCAAGUAUGUUCAGCACCCUGGGUUCCAAACUGAUCCUUGGGGCAGGGGUGUCGUCCCGCCACCCCCUGCAAUGAUAUAUCUGAACUUAUCCUUCAGUUUUUUGCAUCGUCAUCCGUGCAAGAAUUAUGGAGGAAUUUCCUGGUUCAUGAGAUGCCGAGGUUUGCACGCGUCACUAGAGUGGCAAUGAAAGAACAACUAGGGGGGAGACCCUAAUUGAUCACGAGUUGAUGUCUGUAAUCCUUCGUCGAUAUUCUCAGAUCGACCAGCAAUAUGAUCCAGAAUGCCCAUAUCUUACCUGGCGUCACCCUAUCGAGCCAGAUUUCCCGGUAAAGAUGCAAGUCUAAGACAUAUAUCCAUUUUAAUUAUCUCAGCUACAAUGGUAUGUCAUGAGACCAUUUUUUCAUUCCGGGAAACCAUGCUUGUGCAUUUUGUGGCAUACGCUUGUCCUAGCAGAGUACGAUUUCCUCCACACCGUGUCGAUCCAGAACCAGCUUGUUGCUGAUUCGCUUAAGUAUGAUCUCACUUUAGUGGAGCUGUUUUACACACCUGUUCCACGGCCAGAGGGCUGGAUGGCUGUUUUCUUCAACAUGCUGACUAGGGUCAUCUGGGUGAUUGACCCACUGUACCACAACAAGUUAGCCUGCCCACCCACGGGGCAACACGACGAGAUUAUAGCAUGGAAGCUGCAUGAUGCAUUGUUCACUUGUCUGAAUGAAUUCUACGCUGGAUGGCCAACUAGCAAGGAUAAUUGGACUCUCAAGUUCCCUUCCAUGACCGACUGCAUUUUCUCCUGUGCCGACACAGGCGGGUGUGUCCUCCUUGUGGCAAGGCACUUUGGUGCUCACAAGCUGAAAAUGCCACUCACCAAGGUCCCGAGCCUCCCAGACUAGGCUCAGCGCCGUGAUUGUUGGUUGCAUCAGCUGAAACACCCGUCCGACAAAGAUGUUAUGCUUCUAGGUUGUCAACGUCAGUUUUGAAUGCAUAAUUUUGUAACCUAUACCUUGAUGGAUAUGCUGCUCGCCCCCUGCCGAUGCAGGCCCCACCACGCAAUUAGCUGCUACUGAUGAUCCGCCAGAUGUAGUAACUGUAUUACAUGAUCAGCCGGUCAGGUCAUGCAAAUCCAUGCUGCUAGUGUCAGUCAUAUGAUAUCUUACUUGUUAUUCCAGGGAACACAUAGUCCCCUGUUUCUUGACGAGUGAUGACCCCAACUCCAUAGCCUACGCCCCUGGCUGUAUCAUUGGGACGCAUAUGUACCUCACCUAUUUUUUGGAACAAUCAAUCAUGUUAGACUUUAACUUUCAGGAUGUACACUACGCUACUCACUUAUAGGAUCCACAUUUUGAUUUACCAUGUAAUCCAUCUGGGGGAAUGCUCUGCUCUGCGGCUCCUCCUUGUUGGUCGUCUUGCGUCGCACCUGCAUCACUGUCAGAGCUAUCCGAUGAAGAUGACCCACUCCCGGAAGGUGUUUUCCGUUUCCUAUUGCGACACUUCUUGCUCCCACGGUGCACACAUCUUUUCUGUCGUUGCCUUGCUGGAGGCACAAACCGAAUUACUGGCUGUUCCGGAGUAGAGCUCAUGCACAGCACACCUGGUGUUGCCAUCACAAAAUGUUUGCUUUUGUUACGAGAAGCACUUAACGAAACAACACAAUGGUUUUACAUCUAUGUGGGAUAGCAUUAUGCACCGUUGAUCUCAGCCUGGAACUUGAGACAAUCUAGCACCAUAUCAGCAUUGCUUGGCGUUGCUCUCAUCAGCUCAUCUGGGACAAGAUUUUAUCAUCACGCCGACAUGAUUGUUGUUAGUAGUUAUACGCAAAAAUCAUGUAACAACAAAAUUGUAUCACUGCUUUUCAAAAAUAUACCUAUUUCUGCCUCGAUAGUUUCCAUGGCGCAGUUGCCUGCUUGCGCAUCUGUAACCACAUUAUAAGCUCUAAUUAGUCAGCAAAAGACAAAGCAUUGGAAGGCUCUUUAUCACAACUUCAGAAACCUAGCAAACUAUACCUCCACGAAUGACCAAGGUGGGGGGGUCUGGUUAUUGCUCUUGUGUUUUUCUAUGUAUUUCCUAAUGCAUGCCUACUUCCCCCUAGAUGAUUUUUCCGGUUCUGCUACAAUUUUUCUUCAGUAAAUCGACCAUCCUCGUAUUAUUUUUAUUUAUUAUUCACCUUCUAUGUGGUGCAUUUCAUACUUCUGGGGGUGUUAGUUGAAUGCCUCUCACCUAAACAACCAAUAUUUGUUAGCUCUGCUAUGAACACCCGUGGGCAAAAAUAUGAUAGUGACUUUUCCUAAUUUUACUUGUCGUCCCACUGCGACAGUGAUAUUAAGAACGCACACACCAUUCAUAUCAUUUCUAGCUUGCAAAAGAGCGACAUAAUUUUUUACUAUGCACGAUUCUUAACCACACCAGUAAUGGCAUCAUUACCGACGCUGCCAUCAACAUGCUCCCCCAAACCAUGUUUAGCACGCUUGGCAGAUGAGCUGCUGCUGUCUUCCUCUGCAUCUUCAUCCGACUCGCCAUGGGCGCCAGCCGAAGAGUGCUCGCCGUCUUCAACCUCUGCAAGCUCAUCCAUCCCCAGAGGCUGGUCUUCUAGGUCAUGUUCUCCAUAGCCUUCUUCCACAUCCUGCAUCGCCUGCAUCUCAACUUCCUCCUGCAUCACGAUGUGUCCGCCCUCCCAGACAUCACUUGCAGGCGGCGUCUCCUGCAGGGUAAUCACCAGAUAAAGCAAAUUCAGAGAUAACUACAGAUAUGGACUGCUAAUUGGAUGCAACCCCCUCCUCCCCCAGCACUUCGUCAUACCUGCUCAACGACUGCUGACACUCCAGAUGAUGAACUCGCCGCUACUCCUGCUCCUACGGGCUGGUUUACUGAACUAUCAAAUGCAUCAGACACCUGACAGUAGGUUACACACUUAGAAUGAUCUCCCUCACGUUAAGUUGAGAGUCGGUUAAGAAGAGGCUAACCUCUGGGAUUACACCAGCGCCCUUGUGAGUAGGAUCAGAUUUCGUAAGGCCAGACACCAAGAACGAUUGCAGGUUAGGAGCCAUGGCAAGAGCUGCCCUCUAAUGGAAGGACUUGGUAUACUAAAACAGAGGAAUGGCUUACGCACUGCCCUCUGCCUCACUACUUAUCUGUCUAUAGCUCCUCUCUUUCCCGCACUUGGGGUUUGAAAUUCGAAAUGGGUCAGUAGAGCAAUGGGCGCCACACCACCGAGAGGCAUACACCUGUAAAAAAUGCAUACUGAAACAUGUCCACAACAGGUGGCAAGCUUACCAAAAUCUGAUGAAUUUCUUUUUUCCAUGACCACAGAGUGUGCUCACUCUUAAUUGUUGACAACUUUUUUUGCAGCCCAGGCGGAAAAAUACAACAGCCGCUUAUAUGGAAUUUGAUUAUCUUCAGUAUUCACAAUUUCAUUUUCUCUCAUUUCACAUUUCCCAUUCAUU
RNA transcript from Triticum dicoccoides, 3727 nucleotides. RefSeq lists it as uncharacterized. The record is from RefSeq and is a predicted model, not a curated record. NCBI's taxonomy places the organism in Eukaryota, Viridiplantae, Streptophyta, Magnoliopsida, Poales, Poaceae. The transcript has 6 exons.